AUGAGAGGAAGAAAGGUUUGUGGGGGAAGUGCUGUGCCUUCACAGAAUGCCAGCAUGGCUGAGGCCGGCAGGGACCUUUGGGUCCUUCUGGUCCAACCCUACUCCAGCAGAGCCACCCAGAGCAGGGUGCCCAGGACCACCUCCCGGUGGCUUUUGAAGAUCCCCAAGGAGGAGACUCCAGCACCUCUCUGGGCAGCCUGUGCCAGUGCUCGGUCACUGCACAGCACACAAAUGCUGUCUGGUGCUCGCAGGGAGCCUCCUGUGCCCCUGUUCGUGCCCACUGCCUCUGGUCCUGGCACUGGGCACCACCAAAAGGAGCCUGGCUCCGUCCUUUUUGCACCUUCCCAUCAGGUGUUUAUGGACAUUGAUGAGGUCCCCCUGAGCCUGCUCUUCUGCAGGCUGAGCAGCCCCAGCUCUCUCAGCCUCUUCUCACAUCAGAGGGCUCCAGGCCCUCCAGCACCUCCGUGUCCCUUUUUUGGACUCUCUCCAGUAGCUCCAGGUCUCUGUUCUACUGGGGAGCCCAGCACUGGACACUGCUCACAGUUCCCGGCUGUCAGAGGCUAUCCAGGCUGGCUGAACAUGGCCAACCAUCGUGGAGACUUUGGAGGGGACUGCAGCUUCAGCCCUCACCCACCCCACCCCUCAUCAGACCUGUCCACGAUACCAACAGCCUCCCCCAUAACGAUGUUCCAAGGGAGGCUCCUGCCCCCUAACACGGCCCAUCCGCCUGCUUCAGCAUCACCGCGGAGCAGCAAGAUCUCUGGGAGCAGGAUGAGCCAGGGCCUGGAUGCCGGCCGACGAGGGGAGAGGAUGAAGGGAGAUCUGAAGUCGGCGUGCGAAAAAGGAGAAGGGCGAGGAUGCGGCCGGGUGCUGAUGACGGGGGUGGCUGCAGACAGUAUCGCAGCAACGUGCUGGCAUAGAGCAAGGGCUAGGCUGAAGUCAAACAUAGGGAACAUUUCUACCAGACGGGACAAUUACACACUGGGGUUGCUUGCCAGUGAGGCCCCAUCACGAGUGGAACAGAUCCCAUAA
This 1032-nucleotide long non-coding RNA is filed under the name Anser brachyrhynchus (Pink-footed goose). RNAcentral describes it as "lncRNA (ENSABRG00000007203.1)". Lineage: Eukaryota; Metazoa; Chordata; Aves; Anseriformes; Anatidae. The record is from RNAcentral.